Molecule: long non-coding RNA, 3449 nt
Filed under: Paramuricea clavata
Lineage: Eukaryota; Metazoa; Cnidaria; Anthozoa; Malacalcyonacea; Plexauridae
Source: RNAcentral
GUAAAGUUGGUGCAGCAGACGUAUUCGCGGUUUUUCUUCGUUAAACGUCUCAAGGUAUGGGCAUUUAAUAGAACAAUCUCUUUUUGAAUUGAAUGGAUCUUUAUUAAAGGUGACAUGACACGAAAUUUUUAUUGUCCCAUCUGAAAGAAUAAUGAAUAGUGUAAAGUAACUUCUUUACAAAUUUUCGUUUACAUUCUUCCUUGAUGAGAGAAUUCAGUUUAGUUCACAUGCAUUGCAAACAAAUUUACGUCACAGUUUGCAUAAUGAGCUACCAAAUAUUUGAUAAUUUAUGUAUUUUUAUCCAACAUCGUCAUUUGCAAAACCGCAUAUGCUUUACAUUGUCCUCAGCAUAACGCAUAUAUGGAUUUUCAAACGAUUUAAUCACUUAUAUAUGCGUGUAACUUGACAUUUAACGAUAAAUCAUUAUGCAAAGUGUGACGUAAAUUUGUUUCCACUUCAUAUCAAGAAAACUGAAUACCCCACCAAGGAAGCACGUGAACAAAAAUGUGUAAAAGAAGUUGCUUUACAGUUUUGACGAUUCUUUCCGAUGGGCCAAUAAAAUAUUUCGUCUCAUGUCACCUUUGACCGUGAUUCAGGAAAAGGUUAUUGCACGUUGCAAUAUUCACCAUUCCAAAAAAGUUCACAAAAUAUUUCAAAUGUGAAACUAUGUGCGGACUUGAAACAAUUUGGAAAUGUUAUUUAUCUUCUUGACGGGUAUCCGACUCUUUCUUCGAUACAAAUGUAUAAUUAAAGGUAAUUAUUCCUGUUUUUUAAAUAAAAAUAAUUAAAUUGCCACAGUAACGAAAGUUGCGUAACUUUUGUGAAAAAAUUCAUACCUUUCAUAUAUUGUUUCACACAACUAAGAUACAUUUUGUUUUUCAAUGAGUAAUAUUAUUAUAUGGCAAGCAUUUGUUUUGAAGAAUCGCGCAAUUUGAUUGGCUGCUGACAAGGCAGGAUUUUCUCGUAUUUCUCACGGGUAAUACGCAAUUUAUAUUGCCCUGCGAAGAUAGCCGAGUUUCAAACGGCAAAAAGUGUCUAAAAGUCUUUCAAACUAUUCAAAAGGAAGAAAAAUAAACCUAUAAUAAUAAAAAGCAGCAACUGAUGUGUUUAAAGAACUUUCUCAUUGCGUUUUUGCUAGCGAAAAUUAAAAUUACAAGGUAAAUUUCACAAUGUUUAUAACUAUUAAAGUAGUCGGGAAUAGUUGUGUUUUGACUAUGUGAAGAGCUGCAAAUUCUAUUUGCAGAUAGCCAGGAGGAACUUACACCAUCCUAAAUAAAAAAUACAACUAAAGCAGCCACAGAUAUAUAAUUUUUCCCUGAAAAUGCCUGUUUUUGUUAGAUAAAAAUAGACAUAAAUAUGUGAUUAAGCGAACUAAAAACAUACUUGUCCAUACUGUUUAUUAAUUUUAUUGUUUUCAUAUUUGACAUUUGUUGUCUUUCAUUAAAUAACGAAAUACCUCGUAUUUUUCUUGAAAUGCUAUCAAAACUGUGCUAGUAUUCUAGAUAAAAAGUGUUGUAGUGCUGUUAUAGUCUUACUAACCAAGAGAACAUUUUUAUAUGAAUUUGGUUUUUUUAGAAAUUUUUCGGACUUUGUACUUUGACCUCGCGUCAGCUUUUUUCCCAUUUUGCAAACGUACAAUGCCAUGUAAUAAAAAAAACUUACUGACCUCAACCGUUCGGGCAGCACGGGAAAAUAUCCACCCUCGGUAAUUGCUGCAUUGACCUCGCUAUCGCUCUGUCAAUACAGCAAGACCUCGGUUGGAUAUUUUCCCGUACUACCCUAACUCUCGGUCAGUAAGUUAUUAAUUCUCAAAAAAUACGGAUCUAAAUUGUAAGCUUCCAUUCAUAUUUACGUGUGACAUCCUUCACAUGUUCACACCUUUCAGGGAAUGUACAUGGUUUACCUAACAUUUUAACUGACCGGAUAAUAAAUAUUUGUCUCUGCUUCCGUCGACGUCGGUGCGCCUGUUCGUCCGUCCGAACGGCUGUUUGUCCCACUGAUGACUUACAAUUAGGAUCAAGAUUUAAUUUUUGGUUAAAUUUGGAUGAAUACUGGACGAGGAAUUGGCAAACGUUUGCUUGGCUUUGUCGACCUGAUUAAUUGAACUGAAUGCGUGAUUUUCCAUUGUACGAUUUAUGCGUGAUACAUUACUUACUUUUCUUGCGGAGGUAUGCAGUCUCCUCUAGUUAAUGAUAAAAUCACUUAAAAUAAGUGCAACUAAAUGGGAAAAUUGUAGUUCAAUCUGUUAAUAUAAGUUAAUAAUAACUUUGUUAUUUCCUUUUAAUUAACAGGUUUAACAUCCACUCCUAAAGAAAGCAAAAGGAAAGGCUAUGAUAAUGAUUUGAAUCUUACUUUAAUAUUUUCAAUAAUAUUCAUUGUUAAAAUAAUUUGUAGACAUUAAUUGGUAGAUUCAUAGAAAGAAAUUAAUUCGGUGGCUACAUGUCUUUUAUUAAUGAUUUCAUGUAUAAUUUUUCUUUUGAUUAAUGUAAACAUUCACGCACAAUUCUUGUCGUUAAUAUUUUUAUUCUGUUAGUUUAUAUUAUUUUAUUUACGCUUUUAACUUUUCGACGAAGCGCCGGAAACGACAAAUUUCUUUGCGUUUUUUCGGGUGCUACUGUAAGCUAGUCUUACUAUGUGGAAAAGACUAGUCAUGCCAACCAGUCAUGCUAUGUUUAAUAAAUCUACAUUUAAAUAGAUUAAAGACAAAUCAUUUCCACGGGUUUGAACACUGUCAACCAUUACAAAUUUGGAUAUCAUGCAUGGGCUGUUGUUAUGGCUAGUUCCACCACUGAGUAUUACCAAAACCGGGCAUCCUAGCCUUCCAUGCACUCAUAAAAAAAAACCUGUCACUACGCCGUGUGAAAACAUUCAGGAUUGCGACUACGUUCCUAAUGUCGUCGACAGUAAAGGGAUUCAGAUAGUUCCUUUCGCUAGCUUAAUACGCAUCUGAUUGGUUAACCGGAUAUAUCAAUCGGCCAUCGCAUCUGAUUGGUUAAUGGUCCCUUAAUGGUAGUGGUAAUUGGUGUCAAAUCUGGAUCUCUCUAAUUUUGAAAUGGCUUUAUCUGAUUGGUCUGCGGGAAAUCGUUCUAAAAUUAGCGCGUAGGAAUGUACUCGCAUUUCUGGAUUUUUGAAAGGGAAAAAAGGCAUUUUUUGUGGAGAGAGGAAUGAUGUGCGGUUUUGGUAAUAGUUGUAAAUCUCGUAUAAAGAUUGCUGUAACAAUUGUGUUCGAUUGUCGAUAUAUUAUUACCUAUACUGGCGCCAACAGUUCGAAUAAUAUCUUUUUAACCUGGAAAUUUUGUCAUUAAUUACACAUUCACUUUUAGGCUUAAGAAAAAUUCGACUGAGAAACACCGUUUCAGCAAGCGAAUAUUUUGGACUGCGUAUUAAAAUAAAUUAGUUGCGAUCAAGCCAAUUAGAUUUAAAUACUUGCAGAAGCAACGCAAUAGACG